Xiphias gladius (swordfish) is the source of this 903-nucleotide long non-coding RNA. RefSeq lists it as uncharacterized. The record is from RefSeq and is a predicted model, not a curated record. The transcript is spliced from 3 exons. Lineage: Eukaryota; Metazoa; Chordata; Actinopteri; Istiophoriformes; Xiphiidae.
GGUGGUCAAACACAAAGGUGUCAGGUGAAACUCACUCCAGGUGUGUGGUGGACAGGUAGAGCAUGACAGGAACACUCAACAACACACACCGCAGGUACAACCAGACUGAAUGGGGCAAGAUGUGUGAAAACACCACCUUCCGUUCUUUUUCUAUGAGAACAGCCUCUGUGAAGCUGGACUGUCUCAUUUUGGAAGGAGGAACAGGUGCCCAGCCACUUAAAUGGGAUGCAGCACCAAAUUUGAGACUGGAGAAAAAAUGGGCCAAGCUUGCUCAAAUGCUGAGGGGAGAACAUGUUAAUUGACUCCUUAGCUGCUGAGAAACAACCUCCCCCAUUCCAAGGCUUUUGGAGAACACGUAGAAGCCUGAUACUGGUAUUGACCAGCGGACAUCACCGAGAAUUCACCACCUUUACUAAAAGAAAGGAUCUUCUUCCUGCUGUCCAUAUCAUUUCUCCACAUGCCCUGUAUGAUGCAUCACACCGUAGCAUUUGCAUUUAGAUCACCACUCUUUCUUGCAUUGCUCGUUGUGUUUCGGCAUCCGAGUCGAUACUGCGGUGGACUCCUAAGGAGAAUGGAUGGAGGUGGUAAUGAAGGCGAACCACCAACACAAACAUGCUGCUUGGCGGUUCCUCUGCCCGGCGCCGUGCAGCACCUGGAGUCGUUAGUUUUAAUUAGCGGAGGGGAGUGAUAGGAGCUCCUCUCUCCUCCCACCCACUCAUCCCCUCUGGGGGAGAACAGCCGAAUACUGAGGCUCCUGCAUACUGCUACAUAUUUUGUAUUUUCUUUUAUUAUUUUAUUUAAUUGAUAUAACAGAUCCAAAAUGGCUUGUUGUACCACAACUUUUUACUCUUGCAUUAAUUCAAAAGAGAUUGUUUGUUUGAAUGGAAAAAAAAAAAACCUUUA